Molecule: ribosomal RNA, 497 nt
Filed under: uncultured bacterium
Lineage: Bacteria
Description: partial 16S ribosomal RNA
Rfam family: Bacterial small subunit ribosomal RNA
Source: RNAcentral
GAUGAACGCUGGCGGCGUGCCUAAUACAUGCAAGUCGAGCGAACAGACGAGGAGCUUGCUCCUCUGACGUUAGCGGCGGACGGGUGAGUAACACGUGGAUAACCUACCUAUAAGACUGGGAUAACUUCGGGAAACCGGAGCUAAUACCGGAUAAUAUAUUGAACCGCAUGGUUCAAUAGUGAAAGACGGUUUUGCUGUCACUUAUAGAUGGAUCCGCGCCGCAUUAGCUAGUUGGUAUGGUAACGGCUUACCAAGGCAACGAUGCGUAGCCGACCUGAGAGGGUGAUCGGCCACACUGGAACUGAGACACGGUCCAGACUCCUACGGGAGGCAGCAGUAGGGAAUCUUCCGCAAAGGGCGAAAGCCUGACGGAGCAACGCCGCGUGAGUGAUGAAGGUCUUCGGAUCGUAAAACUCUGUUAUUAGGGAAGAACAAAUGUGUAAGUAACUAUGCACGUCUUGACGGUACCUAAUCAGAAAGCCACGGCUAACUACGUG